CCUACGGGAGGCAGCAGUAGGGAAUAUUGGACAAUUGGGGCACCCUGAUCCAGCCAUGCCGCGUGAGUGAAGAAGGCCCUCGGGUUGUAAACGCUCUUUUGUCCGGAAAGAAAAGCAAUCGGUUAAUACCCGGUUGUUCUGACGGUACCGGAAGAAUAAGCACCGGCUAACUUCGUGCCAGCAGCCGCGGUAAUACGAAGGGUGCAAGCGUUACUCGGAAUUACUGGGCGUAAAGCGUGCGUAGGUGGUUCGUUAAGUCUGAUGUGAAAGCCCUGGGCUCAACCUGGGAAUGGCAUUGGAUACUGGCGAGCUAGAGUGCGGUAGAGGGUAGUGGAAUUCCCGGUGUAGCAGUGAAAUGCGUAGAGAUCGGGAGGAACAUCUGUGGCGAAGGCGACUGCCUGGACCAGCACUGACACUGAGGCACGAAAGCGUGGGGAGCAAACAGGAUUAGAUACCCUGGUAGUCCACGCCCUAAACGAUGCGAACUGGAUGUUGGGUUCAACUUGGAACUCAGUAUCGAAGCUAACGCGUUAAGUCGCCGCCUGGGGAGUACGGUCGCAAGACUGAAACUCAAAGGAAUUGACGG
This 586-nucleotide ribosomal RNA is filed under the name uncultured bacterium. Its description in RNAcentral is "bacterial SSU rRNA". It matches the Rfam family "Bacterial small subunit ribosomal RNA", at positions 338 to 916 of the family's 1533-position model. The record is from RNAcentral.